AAUGAACGUUGGCGGCAUGGAUUAGGCAUGCAAGUCGCGCGACAAGCCAUUUUUUAGCUUGCUAUUUAUGGUGGAGGAGCGGCGAAAGGGAGAGUAACGCGUGGAUCACCUACCCAAGGGUGCGGAAUAGCGGUUGGAAACGACCGGUAAUGCCGCAUAACGUCUCCGGACCAAAGCCCCGGCGCCUUUGGACGGGUCCGCGUACCAUUAGCUUGUUGGUGGGUAAAAGCCUACCAAGGCUGAGAUGGUUAGUGGGCGUGAGAGCGUGGCCCACCUCACUGGGACUGAGACACUGCCCAGACACCUACGGGUGGCUGCAGUCGAGAAUCUUUGUCAAUGGACGCAAGUCUGAACAAGCGAUGCCGCGUGCGGGAUGAAGGCCUUCGGGUUGUAAACCGCUGUCAGAGGGGAGCAAAUUUUGAGCGAUCCUCAGAGGAAGCCCGGGCUAAGUUCGUG
Molecule: ribosomal RNA, 456 nt
Filed under: uncultured bacterium
Lineage: Bacteria
Description: bacterial SSU rRNA
Rfam family: Bacterial small subunit ribosomal RNA
Source: RNAcentral